AAUGAAGCGACAUUGAACGUCUCAAUGCUCCUGCGUUUUUAAACCACAGAGGCGCAGGACUAGUAAUCAAACCAUUCAGGGAAAACUAAUCGAGCGAGGCAUCCUGACCGUGAAGGUGGAAUAACUGUGAACACACCUGCUGAUCCACGUACACUUUCCCAGAGAAGAACCGUUUAAAGCAGUCCAGCUCCUUGCCUAGGUUUUCUUUCACCACGGCAAAAAGAGGCACCUCGAGUUCCUGCAGCUGGGACUUUAGAGAGGACAGCUCAGCAGCCUCCUGCAAAGACAGCACAGACAAAAUCAAAAAGAUCUGAGUUUUGGCCUUGUGUCGUUCAUGGACUGACAGAGGGAGAGAAUCAACGCAUUUAUUAUGUUCCCUGAGGCAAGU
Molecule: long non-coding RNA, 388 nt
Organism: Cynoglossus semilaevis (tongue sole)
Lineage: Eukaryota; Metazoa; Chordata; Actinopteri; Pleuronectiformes; Cynoglossidae
Exons: 3
Source: RefSeq, a predicted model, not a curated record